UGUAGUCAGUGACGUAUCCAACCCAAAAGGGCGCAGUCGUCGUAUUCCGUGAAUAAAGAAAUAACGAGUUCGGGCUUUUAAACAUCUCUGUUUGUGCGUGCGGCAUAUGAGGUGUAUUCUGCGCAUAGACUGUGGUUCUACGACUCUAAAAGAUUAUGAUCGUUUCCUAAAUGUUACAUAUCAUAUAAUAAGUGGAAGUGGAAGAGGAAGAGGAAAUUGUGAGACAAGUUAGGAAGAAGAUAAUGCCCAACAAACUGCAGUUCAAUCAUCAGAAGAACAAGAAGAGGAAGAACAAAAAGGAGUCUCAAACUAAAGGGUCAAGAGAUACAAACACAGUGAAACCUGUGAGAUGCAACAGCAUGGAGCGUCUUUCACCCACGUUGUCUGGUGAUCAAGCUGUAGAGUCUCAUUCUAAUGAAUCAGAGAAGGUCCAGGAUGAGAGAACACCAGGACCUUAAACUCCAGAAUGUGAUGGGGGUUCAUUCACCAUCCUGGAUAACUUUCCUCAGUUGUCCAGGAUAUUCAGACCGUCCUCCAUGGCUGCGCAUUUGGAGCUGCAUUUGUGUUCCUCUAGCAAACAUACU
This is a long non-coding RNA of Sinocyclocheilus anshuiensis, 584 nucleotides long. RefSeq lists it as uncharacterized. The transcript is spliced from 4 exons. The record is from RefSeq and is a predicted model, not a curated record. Lineage: Eukaryota; Metazoa; Chordata; Actinopteri; Cypriniformes; Cyprinidae.